AUCCUCAAAGUUUUCUCGUCCUUUGCAUCUCAUGUUUAAAAAUGUCCUCGCUAAAUGUGCAUCUGGAAAUUUAAAAAAAAAAUUAAUUACAAUGAUAUUGAUAAACAAUGUGUUAUUUAAAUUAUGUGGGUAACUGGCAAAUAUAAGAGAGUAAUCAAAAAGCACUGAGUCAAUGAAGAAAUGAAAUCAAUUUCAUCAGUAAUGCAGACAUGUCUCCACUUACUGCACUCAUACACAGGUAAUGGCCGUGUAUUCACAAUGCAUUCCACAUGACCCCCUUACUAUGAUGGUCCUCCUUUUACUGGUUUCCCUGAACGAGGGCCCAUUUAGGCAAAGACUUCAACAUUAUUAUUCUCUGUCUCUUCUUUCCAAUCUUAGAUUUUGACAUUUAUGCAUUGGCUCUCCUUCAACCUUCCCCCAAAUAUUGAAGAUUCUUUUGGGGCUAGAGACCUCCCAAAGAACAGUCUCUUCCUAAAACAGCCUCAGGAAGAUUGGAGUCCUGGGCACAGGGCCAUUGCUGGGCUUUUAAAACCAUCCUGGAGGCUGGACGUGGUGGCACCCACCUGUAAUCCCAGCAACUCAGGAGGCUGAGGCAGGAAGAUCAUAAAUUGGAAGCCAGCCUCAACAAGUUAGCAAGAUCCUAAGCAACUUUGACUCUGUUUCAAAAUAAAAAGGACUGGGGAUGUAGCUCAGUAGUAAAGUACCCCUAGGUUCAAUCCCCAGUGCCAAAACCAAAAACC
Molecule: long non-coding RNA, 740 nt
Filed under: Marmota monax (woodchuck)
Lineage: Eukaryota; Metazoa; Chordata; Mammalia; Rodentia; Sciuridae
Source: RNAcentral